RNAcentral lists this ribosomal RNA (406 nucleotides) under uncultured bacterium. RNAcentral describes it as "partial 16S ribosomal RNA". It matches the Rfam family "Bacterial small subunit ribosomal RNA", at positions 30 to 526 of the family's 1533-position model. The record is from RNAcentral.
AUUGAACGCUGGCGGCAGGCCUAACACAUGCAAGUCGAACGAGUGGCGGACGGGUGAGUAAUGUCUGGGAAACUGCCUGAUGGAGGGGGAUAACUACUGGAAACGGUAGCUAAUACCGCAUACCAUCGGAUGUUCCCCGAUGGGAUUAGCUAGUAGGUGGGGUAAAGGCUCACCUAGGCUACGAUCCCUAGCUGGUCUGAGAGGAUGCCCAGCCACACUGGAACUGAGACACGGUCCAGACUCCGAAGGUAGGCAGAAGUGGGGAAGAUUGAAAAAUGGGCGCAAGCCUGAUGCAGCCAUGCCGCGUGUAUGAAGAAGGCCUUCGGGUUGUAAAGUACUUUCAGCGGGGAGGCGUUACCCGCAGAAGAAGCACCGGCUAACUCCGUGCCAGCAGCCGCGGUAAUAC